RNAcentral lists this ribosomal RNA (253 nucleotides) under uncultured bacterium. Its description in RNAcentral is "partial 16S ribosomal RNA". It matches the Rfam family "Bacterial small subunit ribosomal RNA", at positions 524 to 776 of the family's 1533-position model. The record is from RNAcentral.
UACGAAGGAUGCAAGCGUUAUCCGGAUUUAUUGGGUUUAAAGGGAGCGUAGGCGGUCUUGUAAGUCAGUGGUGAAAUCCUAUCGCUUAACCAUAGACGUGCCAUUGAUACUGUAGGACUUGAGUACAGAUGCCGUUGGCGGAAUGUGUCAUGUAGCGGUGAAAUGCAUAGAUAUGACACAGAACACCUAUUGCGAAGGCAGCUUACUAAGCAGAUAUUGACGCUCAUGCACGAAAGCGUGGGGAUCAAACAGG